Molecule: ribosomal RNA, 403 nt
Filed under: uncultured beta proteobacterium
Lineage: Bacteria; Pseudomonadati; Pseudomonadota; Betaproteobacteria
Description: bacterial SSU rRNA
Rfam family: Bacterial small subunit ribosomal RNA
Source: RNAcentral
GAGUUUGAUCCUGGCUCAGAUUGAACGCUGGCGGAAUGCUUUACACAUGCAAGUCGAGCGGCAGCGCGGGGCAACCUGGCGGCGAGCGGCGAACGGGUGAGUAAUGUAUCGGAACGUGUCCUGAGAUGGGGGAUAGCCCGGUGAAAACCGGAUUAAUACCGCAUACGAUCGAGAGAUGAAAGUGGGGGACCGCAAGGCCUCACGUCUUAGGAGCGGCCGAUAUCUGAUUAGCUAGUUGGUGGGUAAAGCCCACCAAGGCUUCGAUCAGUAGCUGGUCUGAGAGGAUGAUCAGCCACACUGGACUGAGACACGGCCCAGACUCCUACGGAGCAGCAGUGGGAAUUUUGGACAAUGGGGCAACCCUGAUCCAGCCAUUCCGCGUGAGUGAAGAAGGCCUUCGGUU